Molecule: small nuclear RNA, 307 nt
Filed under: Heterocephalus glaber (naked mole-rat)
Lineage: Eukaryota; Metazoa; Chordata; Mammalia; Rodentia; Bathyergidae
Description: 7SK RNA
Rfam family: 7SK RNA
About the family: 7SK was discovered as an abundant small nuclear RNA in the mid-70s but a possible function has only recently been suggested. Two independent studies have found that 7SK RNA binds the CDK9/cyclin T complex (known as elongation factor P-TEFb). P-TEFb activates transcription by phosphorylating the C-terminal domain of RNA polymerase II.
Source: Rfam by way of RNAcentral
GAAUGUGAGGGUGAUCUGGCUAUGACAUCUGUCACCCCACUGGUCACCAGAGUUGAUUCGACUGAUCUGGCUGGCUAGGCGAGGGUCCCCUUCCUCCCUCACUGCUUGCUCCAUGUACUGCACUCCAUAAGCUGUGUGCUCUGUAGAAGACGAAAACCACCCCAACAGAGGAGAAUCCUUUCCUCUCUCCAGGGUACACAAGUAGCUGCACUCCCCUGCUAGAACCUCCAAGAAGCUCUCAGAAUCUGACUGCAGUCCUGCCAUCCCCGUUGGUCACUCAUGAGCAUCACGAUUCUUGUGUUCAUGC